CUGAAUAAACUUGGUGGGUUGUAGCUGGCUCUCUGGAGCAUGUGCACACUCAUCAUCUUUAUCCAUCCACCUGUGCACAAUCUGUAGUCUUGAGAGAAAUGAAAGCGGAUUGAUCCAUAAAUUAGUCCGUGGCAUCAUUCUCUUGGGUCUAUGUGUCUUCAUAUACUACAUAGCAUGUCGCAGAAUGUAAUUAAUGGGCCUCUGUGCCUAUAAAAACUUUAUA
RNAcentral lists this unclassified non-coding RNA (223 nucleotides) under uncultured Cystolepiota. RNAcentral describes it as "sequence contains ITS1". The record is from RNAcentral. Lineage: Eukaryota; Fungi; Basidiomycota; Agaricomycetes; Agaricales; Agaricaceae.